RNAcentral lists this ribosomal RNA (483 nucleotides) under uncultured organism. RNAcentral describes it as "bacterial SSU rRNA". It matches the Rfam family "Bacterial small subunit ribosomal RNA", at positions 28 to 507 of the family's 1533-position model. The record is from RNAcentral.
GAUGAACGCUGGCGGCGUGCUUAACACAUGCAAGUCGAACGAAGAACUUUUGACAGAGGAUUCGUCCAAUGAAGGAAGUUUCUUAGUGGCGGACGGGUGAGUAACGCGUGAGGAACCUGCCUUGGAGUGGGGAAUAACACAGGGAAACUUGUGCUAAUACCGCAUAAAGCAGUUGGGUCGCAUGACUCUGACUGCCAAAGAUUUAUCGCUCUGAGAUGGACUCGCGUCUGAUUAGCUAGUUGGUGAGGUAAUGGCCCACCAAGGCGACGAUCAGUAGCCGGACUGAGAGGUUGGCCGGCCACAUUGGGACUGAGAUACGGCCCAGACUCCUACGGGAGGCAGCAGUGGGGAAUAUUGGGCAAUGGGCGAAAGCCUGACCCAGCAACGCCGCGUGAAGGAAGAAGGCUUUCGGGUUGUAAACUUCUUUUGUCAGGGACGAAAAAAAUGACGGUACCUGACGAAUAAGCCACGGCUAACUACGUG